UCCCUGGUGGCUCAGAGGGUAAAGCGUCUGCCUGCAAUGUAGGAGACCUAGGUUUGAUCCCUGGGAUGGGAA
RNAcentral lists this transfer RNA (72 nucleotides) under Bos taurus (domestic cattle). It matches the Rfam family "tRNA". Rfam says of the family: Transfer RNA (tRNA) molecules are approximately 80 nucleotides in length. Their secondary structure includes four short double-helical elements and three loops (D, anti-codon, and T loops). RNAcentral also lists the same sequence under 2 other names. Lineage: Eukaryota; Metazoa; Chordata; Mammalia; Artiodactyla; Bovidae. The record is from Rfam by way of RNAcentral.